UGUUCACAAUAAUUUCAGUCA
This 21-nucleotide non-coding RNA is filed under the name Caenorhabditis elegans. Lineage: Eukaryota; Metazoa; Nematoda; Chromadorea; Rhabditida; Rhabditidae. The record is from RNAcentral.